This is a long non-coding RNA of Pecten maximus, 290 nucleotides long. RefSeq lists it as uncharacterized. The transcript is spliced from 3 exons. NCBI's taxonomy places the organism in Eukaryota, Metazoa, Mollusca, Bivalvia, Pectinida, Pectinidae. The record is from RefSeq and is a predicted model, not a curated record.
GUAACAGGUGGGGUGUCCUACACUAUAAACUGUCAGUAUGAUGUAACAGGUGGGGUGUCCUACACUAUCAACUGUCAGUAUGAUGUAACAGGUGGGGUGUCCUACACUAUAAACUGUCAGUAUGAUGUAACAGGUGGGGUGUCCUACACUAUAAACUGUCAGUAUGAUGUAACAGGUGGGGUGUCCUACACUAUCAACUGUCAGUAUGAUGUAACAGGUGGGGUGUCCUACACUAUAAACUGUCAGUAUGAUGUAACAGGUGGGGUGUCCUACACUAUCAACUGUCAGUA